UUCUAUGGCCAUGCCACCCUGAAUAAGCCCGAUCCCGUCCGAUCUCAGAAGUUAAGCAGAGUUGGGCCUGGUUAGUGCUUGGAUGGGAGACCAGGUGCUAUAGGCU
RNAcentral lists this ribosomal RNA (106 nucleotides) under Pteropus alecto (black flying fox). Lineage: Eukaryota; Metazoa; Chordata; Mammalia; Chiroptera; Pteropodidae. The record is from RNAcentral.